RNAcentral lists this ribosomal RNA (2771 nucleotides) under Klebsiella pneumoniae. Its description in RNAcentral is "partial 23S ribosomal RNA". It matches the Rfam family "Bacterial large subunit ribosomal RNA". The record is from RNAcentral. Lineage: Bacteria; Pseudomonadati; Pseudomonadota; Gammaproteobacteria; Enterobacterales; Enterobacteriaceae.
CACUAUCGUUAACUGAAUACAUAGGUUAACGAGGCGAACCGGGGGAACUGAAACAUCUAAGUACCCCGAGGAAAAGAAAUCAACCGAGAUUCCCCCAGUAGCGGCGAGCGAACGGGGAGCAGCCCAGAGUCUGAAUCAGCUUGUGUGUUAGUGGAACGGUCUGGAAAGUCCGACGGUACAGGGUGAUAGUCCCGUACACCAAAAUGCACAGGCUGUGAACUCGAAGAGUAGGGCGGGACACGUGGUAUCCUGUCUGAAUAUGGGGGGACCAUCCUCCAAGGCUAAAUACUCCUGACUGACCGAUAGUGAACCAGUACCGUGAGGGAAAGGCGAAAAGAACCCCGGCGAGGGGAGUGAAAAAGAACCUGAAACCGUGUACGUACAAGCAGUGGGAGCACCUUCGGGUGUGACUGCGUACCUUUUGUAUAAUGGGUCAGCGACUUAUAUUCUGUAGCAAGGUUAACCGUAUAGGGGAGCCGCAGGGAAACCGAGUCUUAACUGGGCGUUAAGUUGCAGGGUAUAGACCCGAAACCCGGUGAUCUAGCCAUGGGCAGGUUGAAGGUUGGGUAACACUAACUGGAGGACCGAACCGACUAAUGUUGAAAAAUUAGCGGAUGACUUGUGGCUGGGGGUGAAAGGCCAAUCAAACCGGGAGAUAGCUGGUUCUCCCCGAAAGCUAUUUAGGUAGCGCCUCGUGAAUUCAUCUUCGGGGGUAGAGCACUGUUUCGGCUAGGGGGUCAUCCCGACUUACCAACCCGAUGCAAACUACGAAUACCGAAGAAUGUUAUCACGGGAGACACACGGCGGGUGCUAACGUCCGUCGUGAAGAGGGAAACAACCCAGACCGCCAGCUAAGGUCCCAAAGUCAUGGUUAAGUGGGAAACGAUGUGGGAAGGCACAGACAGCCAGGAUGUUGGCUUAGAAGCAGCCAUCAUUUAAAGAAAGCGUAAUAGCUCACUGGUCGAGUCGGCCUGCGCGGAAGAUGUAACGGGGCUAAACCAUGCACCGAAGCUGCGGCAGCGACACUAUGUGUUGUUGGGUAGGGGAGCGUUCUGUAAGCCUGCGAAGGUGACCUGUGAGGGUUGCUGGAGGUAUCAGAAGUGCGAAUGCUGACAUAAGUAACGAUAAAGCGGGUGAAAAGCCCGCUCGCCGGAAGACCAAGGGUUCCUGUCCAACGUUAAUCGGGGCAGGGUGAGUCGACCCCUAAGGCGAGGCCGAAAGGCGUAGUCGAUGGGAAACAGGUUAAUAUUCCUGUACUUGGUGUUACUGCGAAGGGGGGACGGAGAAGGCUAUGUUAGCCGGGCGACGGUUGUCCCGGUUUAAGCAUGUAGGCUGGUUAAUCCAGGCAAAUCCGGAUAAUCAAGGCUGAGGUGUGAUGACGAGGCACUACGGUGCUGAAGUAACAAAUGCCCUGCUUCCAGGAAAAGCCUCUAAGCAUCAGGUAACAUCAAAUCGUACCCCAAACCGACACAGGUGGUCAGGUAGAGAAUACCAAGGCGCUUGAGAGAACUCGGGUGAAGGAACUAGGCAAAAUGGUGCCGUAACUUCGGGAGAAGGCACGCUGGUGUGUAGGUGAAGUCCCUGCGGAUGGAGCUGAGACCAGUCGAAGAUACCAGCUGGCUGCAACUGUUUAUUAAAAACACAGCACUGUGCAAACACGAAAGUGGACGUAUACGGUGUGACGCCUGCCCGGUGCCGGAAGGUUAAUUGAUGGGGUUAUCCGUAAGGAGAAGCUCUUGAUCGAAGCCCCGGUAAACGGCGGCCGUAACUAUAACGGUCCUAAGGUAGCGAAAUUCCUUGUCGGGUAAGUUCCGACCUGCACGAAUGGCGUAAUGAUGGCCAGGCUGUCUCCACCCGAGACUCAGUGAAAUUGAACUCGCUGUGAAGAUGCAGUGUACCCGCGGCAAGACGGAAAGACCCCGUGAACCUUUACUAUAGCUUGACACUGAACAUUGAGCCUUGAUGUGUAGGAUAGGUGGGAGGCUUUGAAGCGUGGACGCCAGUCUGCGUGGAGCCAACCUUGAAAUACCACCCUUUAAUGUUUGAUGUUCUAACGUUGGCCCCUUACCGGGGUUGCGGACAGUGUCUGGUGGGUAGUUUGACUGGGGCGGUCUCCUCCCAAAGCGUAACGGAGGAGCACGAAGGUUAGCUAAUCCUGGUCGGACAUCAGGAGGUUAGUGCAAUGGCAUAAGCUAGCUUGACUGCGAGCGUGACGGCGCGAGCAGGUGCGAAAGCAGGUCAUAGUGAUCCGGUGGUUCUGAAUGGAAGGGCCAUCGCUCAACGGAUAAAAGGUACUCCGGGGAUAACAGGCUGAUACCGCCCAAGAGUUCAUAUCGACGGCGGUGUUUGGCACCUCGAUGUCGGCUCAUCACAUCCUGGGGCUGAAGUAGGUCCCAAGGGUAUGGCUGUUCGCCAUUUAAAGUGGUACGCGAGCUGGGUUUAGAACGUCGUGAGACAGUUCGGUCCCUAUCUGCCGUGGGCGCUGGAGAAUUGAGGGGGGCUGCUCCUAGUACGAGAGGACCGGAGUGGACGCAUCACUGGUGUUCGGGUUGUCAUGCCAAUGGCACUGCCCGGUAGCUAAAUGCGGAAGAGAUAAGUGCUGAAAGCAUCUAAGCACGAAACUUGCCCCGAGAUGAGUUCUCCCUGAGACUUUAAGUCUCCUGAAGGAACGUUAAAGACGAUGACGUUGAUAGGCCGGGUGUGUAAGCGCAGCGAUGCGUUGAGCUAACCGGUACUAAUGAACCGUGAGGCUUAACCUUACAACGCCGAAG